UACGUAGGCAGCGAGCGUUGUUCGGAGUUACUGGGCGUAAAGAGUAUGUAGGCGGUUCUGUAAGUCUGGUGUGAAAUCUCCCGGCUUAACUGGGAGGGAGCGCCGAAAACUGCGGGGCUUGAGUGCGGGAGAGGAGAGCGGAAUUCCUGGUGUAGCGGUGAAAUGCGUAGAUAUCAGGAGGAACACCGGCGGUGUAGACGGCUCUCUGGACCGUGACUGACGCUGAGAUACGAAAGCGUGGGGAG
This 245-nucleotide ribosomal RNA is filed under the name uncultured bacterium. RNAcentral's name for it is "partial 16S ribosomal RNA". It matches the Rfam family "Bacterial small subunit ribosomal RNA", at positions 524 to 768 of the family's 1533-position model. The record is from RNAcentral.